Long non-coding RNA from Bufo bufo (common toad), 167 nucleotides. RefSeq lists it as uncharacterized. The transcript has 4 exons. Lineage: Eukaryota; Metazoa; Chordata; Amphibia; Anura; Bufonidae. The record is from RefSeq and is a predicted model, not a curated record.
GGAGUUCAGAAGUGUGCAUCUAGCACAGUAAUAGACGGCAGUGUCCUCAGUCUUCACAUUGUCCAUUUGUAGAUAUAACAUGUUAUUACUGUUAUCUCUGGAGAUUGUAAAUCGUCCCUUAACAGAAUCAUCAUAUAUUGUGCUACCCCCUCAUUCAUUUAUAUUAU